RNAcentral lists this ribosomal RNA (252 nucleotides) under uncultured bacterium. RNAcentral's name for it is "partial 16S ribosomal RNA". It matches the Rfam family "Bacterial small subunit ribosomal RNA", at positions 524 to 776 of the family's 1533-position model. The record is from RNAcentral.
UACGUAGGUCCCGAGCGUUGUCCGGAUUUAUUGGGCGUAAAGCGAGCGCAGGUGGUUUAUUAAAUCUGGUGUAAAAGGCAGUGGCUCAACCAUUGUAUGCAUUGGAAACUGGUAGACUUGAGUGCAGGAGAGGAGAGUGGAAUUCCAUGUGUAGCGGUGAAAUGCGUAGAUAUAUGGAGGAACGCCGGUGGCGAAAGCGGCUCUCUGGCCUGUAACUGACACUGAGGCUCGAAAGCGUGGGGAGCAAACAGG